Molecule: ribosomal RNA, 453 nt
Filed under: uncultured Pelotomaculum sp.
Lineage: Bacteria; Bacillati; Bacillota; Clostridia; Eubacteriales; Desulfotomaculaceae
Description: bacterial SSU rRNA
Rfam family: Bacterial small subunit ribosomal RNA
Source: RNAcentral
GCGGUGGAGCAUGUGGUUAAUUCGACGCAACGCGAAGAACCUUACCAGGGCUUGACAUCCCCUGACCGCGUAUGAAAGUACGUUUUCACCUCGGGUGACAGGGAGACAGGUGGUGCAUGGUUGUCGUCAGCUCGUGUCGUGAGAUGUUGGGUUAAGUCCCGCAACGAGCGCAACCCCUACGUUUAGUUGCUAACGCGUGAAGGCGAGCACUCUAGACGAACUGCCGUUGACAAAACGGAGGAAGGUGGGAUGACGUCAAAUCAUCAUGCCCCUUAUGUUCUGGGCUACACACGUGCUACAAUGGCCGGUACAGACGGACGCAAAGCCGCGAGGUGGAGCAAAUCCUAAAAAGCCGGUCUCAGUUCGGAUUGCAGGCUGCAAUUCGCCUGCAUGAAGUCGGAAUCGCUAGUAAUCGCAGGUCAGCAUACUGCGGUGAAUACGUUCCCGGGCCUU